GUACUGCGUGAGGCUGGUUUCACAGAGCAGCGAAUA
Molecule: non-coding RNA, 36 nt
Filed under: Trifolium pratense (red clover)
Lineage: Eukaryota; Viridiplantae; Streptophyta; Magnoliopsida; Fabales; Fabaceae
Source: RNAcentral